ACAGCUACUACUUUAAAUGCUCCAUUUGAUGGCCCUUUUCUUCUCUCAUUCUUCGUUUCAUGCUGGGCAGAAAUGCCUGUAAUUAAUCACUCCCACAAUCAAAACUGAAAAGUGAAAUGCUCACAACAACUUUUUAAAUACCUCAGGUAUUGACUUAAGCUUAUUAGGAACAACAAAUUUUUUGCGUCUAACUUCAUAUUCAUUUAAUCUCCCUCGUGAAUAUAUAAUCUACAAUAAACUUCAACAAACAACAGCAAAGAAUAAGUUACUAGCAAUAAUCAAACUAAAAAUUCAAGAAUGCACAAAAAGGAUUGUUCACUUUUACACAACCACACACAAUACCUAAGUAAACACCAUCAAUGUACACACAUUAGAAACAAGACCAUCCUCAACCUCACACGAGGCUUUGAAAAACUGUUCGCGAUCGCGAUUGCGGCUGCAACGUCAACGCGACCGCAACUAUGGUCCAUUUAUCUGUUAUUUGGCACAAUAUAAAAAAAAAAAACGCGCAGCAAUUUAAAAAACCUCUUCUGCAGACACAACAGGUUCAUGCAAUGCAGCAACAAAAUGCAAAGAGAGGAACAUUCACAUGCUCUUGCUGCAAACAAUUACCGCGAAUUCGCACCUUAGAUAAAUGUGUGACGGAGAUUGAACUCGCUCACUCCCAGUUUGUCAGCACAGAAACAGUGAAACCGCGAUUCCAAAUGCGGCCGCCAGAAGUGAUUUUGUUGCAGUGAAAGUAAUUCGCAAUCGUAACGCUUUUCACAAUCUAAGAGACAGAAAAUCGAAAGGGAAAAUAAUUGAAAAAAUUUCUCAACAGCCAAACAGAAAAGAGAGAGAAAAAUUAC
RNAcentral lists this long non-coding RNA (848 nucleotides) under Phaseolus vulgaris (common bean). RNAcentral describes it as "long non-coding RNA (PVUL_LNC003688)". The record is from RNAcentral. Lineage: Eukaryota; Viridiplantae; Streptophyta; Magnoliopsida; Fabales; Fabaceae.